ACCCUCUUAUUAUAUUGUUUCAUAAUCCAUUUCACAUACAUUAGUACACGUAGAGAAAUGGCUCUGAUACGUAUUCUUAGAUGAUAGUUUAAUUAAAAGUAACAACAACAGGAUUUCAGAAGGCAAAAUCCUCCCUCAAACCCGAACCCAAAAUGUUGGCAAAAAUUAUUGCAAUCGUCCGAGCAAUUUCCAAAACAGUAUCCAGCCUGUCGUUUCUCGCUGAUUGCAGACACUGAAACAAAAAGACUAAUACGAAUUAUCAUUUUCCGAAACUAAUCAAUUCCAUGCAGUAUCCUCGUUUAUCAAAAUACAUCAGAGUCUGUAGUAAUGCAUAUAUGUAGCAAGUGUACAUGGAUAAAUCUUGUGAUCAACAUACAUACCUUGCGAGACGAUUAGCAAAAUAAGUGCAAUCCAUAUCACAAGUUUCUUGGCGAGGAAAGAAAAACUCGUGUUCUCCAUUUCGUUCUAUCUGCUUUUGGAUCACUGAUAUGUUCUACAAAAU
RNAcentral lists this long non-coding RNA (502 nucleotides) under Daucus carota (carrot). RNAcentral describes it as "long non-coding RNA (DCAR_LNC005911)". The record is from RNAcentral. Lineage: Eukaryota; Viridiplantae; Streptophyta; Magnoliopsida; Apiales; Apiaceae.